RNAcentral lists this long non-coding RNA (719 nucleotides) under Mytilus galloprovincialis (Mediterranean mussel). The record is from RNAcentral. Lineage: Eukaryota; Metazoa; Mollusca; Bivalvia; Mytilida; Mytilidae.
CAUCUAGUGACAAGCUAUCAACAUUAUUCAUUUUAAAAAACCUUGACCUCAAGAAAUAAUGCUGACAUUGCUUAAUUGGUAUAAUUCAAGAUUCAUGAGGCGGGCUACAUUUCAUCGAUACCAGAUUUAGUACGUCACCCAUAUCAUUUCAAUAUUGGCCAAAAAACUAAUGAUCUAUACACAUAAAAACAUAAAAAAAUGUCAAUAAGAACACGUAUUAUAAAAUGUACAAAAAAAAACAAAAACAUGCAAAGCGAUGAAAAUGAUUUAUAGAAUAGGGUAGAAUAAACAUCUAUCGAAGUAUCAUUUCAUAUAAUUAAUAAUCUUUUUCUUAAAACAUAACGCAUCUAGCCGAUCAUGUUUGAGAUAAAGUAAAAGGUAUAACACAGAUGCAGUUAAGUCUACCGUAUAUCUUGACCUACAUCUAGUAAUUGACAACAAAACUGUAAGACAAAAGAGAUGAUUUUAUCAUACAAAUUAUGAACUUUCAAUGUCUAUGUAGCAACAUUCCAGCAGCGCCUUUAUACUGAGUAUAUAUCCCUCAGUUGAUACGAUAUUCAAGGAACCGAAUUUCCUAUAUCUUGAUUUCAUUGUAGAGGAUCGCUGUUUACAAGGAAGAUUUUAAACCAAUGGUUUUAAUUGAAGUGGAACUCGCCCCUUUUGUAAAAUUUACGGACGCAAUCACGAGAUGGUUGAACUUUAUGGAAUAUCUGUUUCAC